UACGGGGGGGGCAAGCGUUGUUCGGAAUUACUGGGCGUAAAGGGCUCGUAGGCGGCCAAGUAAGUCAGACGUGAAAUCCCCAGGCUUAACCUGGGAACUGCGUCUGAUACUGGAUGGCUUGAAUUCGGGAGAGGGAUGCAGAAUUCCAGGUGUAGCGGUGAAAUGCGUAGAUAUCAAGCGGAACACCGGUGGCGAAGGCGGCCUUCUGGACAGUGACUGACGCUGAGACGCGAAAGCGUGGGGAGCAAACAGG
Molecule: ribosomal RNA, 253 nt
Filed under: uncultured bacterium
Lineage: Bacteria
Description: partial 16S ribosomal RNA
Rfam family: Bacterial small subunit ribosomal RNA
Source: RNAcentral